CAGAGGUGGUUGAAACUCCAGGGAGAAAGGGAGUGCCUGCUCAACCCCCCUCGCCUGAAGGAUUCUUCUUUUACUUCUUUUUUGUUUUGUUUUGUUUUUUUGAGGAAGAUUAGCCCUGACCUAACUACUGCCAGUCCUCCUCUUUUUUUUGCUGAGGAAGCCUGGCCCUGAGCUAGCAUCCAUGCCCAUCUUCCUCUACUUUAUAUGUGGGAUGCCUGCCACAGCAUGGCUUGCCAAGCAGUGCCGUGUCUGCACCUGGGAUCUGGGCCGCCGAACCCCGGGCCGCCAAAGUGGAACAUGCGCACUUAACCACCGUGCCACUGGGCUGGCCCCUCUUCUUUUACUUCUGAAACCCGACUCUUCUGCUGCUGAUCUUAUAAAGGACCCAUCACUUCUUGGAUCAGAAUCAUCAUAUCCGGGCUUCUUCAAGAACAAUGCUGACUGCUUGCCUCACAUCUGGUUGACUGACAUAGAGAACUGCAGGGGAAUAAAGAACAUAGCUCCCAUCAGACAAUGAGAAAAAGUCUACAAAUCAUAACUUUUCUUGAAGCCAUCAGAGAACUAAGGUUACAGGCAACAAAAUGAACUGAAUUCCGAAGAGAGACCAGCCGCUAUGAGAAGAGAUAAGACACAGAAAUUAUUUCACCUUUGGCCAAGACUGGCUACAUAAUUUAUGGGACCCAGUGAAAACUGAAAAUGUGGGGACUUUUUGAGUAUGGGUGCUGUUGAAUGCACAGCUCAAACGCCUUCAGGUGGGUCCUGUCUUUGGCAGAGAACAUGAGGAAGAAGUGACCACCAUCAUUAUGGGCGAAAAGAAGGGAACUAAAAUUUGAUGCAUCCCUAAAGGUUGAAUAUGGGCUACCCCAUCCGUUUAGAAUGCCUGGGAGUCUCAGAUAUAUGAAGAGUUUGUACUCACAAGCCCUUUUCCAUGGGCCUCCACAAGAAAGACUGGGCAUAGUGCAGGAGACCAGAGAGUGCGACCCUUGAUGGGGCAGGCAUUCCAGACAAUGCAGGCAGCCUGGCCCUGGGGCAUAGACAAAAAACCCCACUCACUUCCAAAGACCCCUCCCUCAUCAAGUAAAAUCCUUCAGCAACUAGAGGAAGGAUAGCAAACAUUUUCAACCCCAGAGCCACUGGGGAAGUGUAGAAGCAGAAUCUGGCUGCAUUUGGGGACCAAGUAGGAAACUGUCCUUCCCACUCCUGGAAACAGG
This 1211-nucleotide long non-coding RNA is filed under the name Equus caballus (horse). RNAcentral's name for it is "lncRNA (ENSECAG00000047227.1)". Lineage: Eukaryota; Metazoa; Chordata; Mammalia; Perissodactyla; Equidae. The record is from RNAcentral.